This 440-nucleotide ribosomal RNA is filed under the name uncultured bacterium. Its description in RNAcentral is "partial 16S ribosomal RNA". It matches the Rfam family "Bacterial small subunit ribosomal RNA", at positions 338 to 795 of the family's 1533-position model. The record is from RNAcentral.
CCUACGGGGGGCAGCAGUAAGGGAUAUUGGUCAAUGGGGGAAACCCUGAACCAGCAACGCCGCGUGAGGGAAGACGGUUUUCGGAUUGUAAACCUCUGUCCUCUGUGAAGAUGAUGACGGUAGCAGAGGAGGAAGCUCCGGCUAACUACGUGCCAGCAGCCGCGGUAAUACGUAGGGAGCGAGCGUUGUCCGGAUUUACUGGGUGUAAAGGGUGCGUAGGCGGCUUGGCAAGUCAGUAGUGAAAUCCAUGGGCUUAACCCAUGAACUGCCAUUGAAACUGGCGCUCUUGAGUGGAAGAGAAGUAUGCGGAAUGCGUGGUGUAGCGGUGAAAUGCAUAAAUAUCACGCAGAACCCCGAUUGCGAAGGCAGCAUGCCGGCUUCCGACUGACGCUGAAGCACGAAAGCGUGGGGAUCGAACAGGAUUAGAUACCCGAGUAGUC